This 367-nucleotide ribosomal RNA is filed under the name uncultured bacterium. RNAcentral describes it as "bacterial SSU rRNA". It matches the Rfam family "Bacterial small subunit ribosomal RNA", at positions 28 to 396 of the family's 1533-position model. The record is from RNAcentral.
GACGAACGCUGGCGGCGUGCUUAACACAUGCAAGUCGAGCGGUAAGGCCCUUUCGGGGGUACACGAGCGGCGAACGGGUGAGUAACACGUGGGUGACCUGCCCUCAGCUCUGGGAUAAGCCUGGGAAACUGGGUCUAAUACUGGAUAUGACUCCACGGUGCAUGUCGUGGGGUGGAAAGCCUUGUGCGGCUGAGGAUGGGCCCGCGGCCUAUCAGCUUGUUGGUGGGGNGAUGGCCUACCAAGGCGACGACGGGUAGCCGGCCUGAGAGGGCGACCGGCCACACUGGGACUGAGACACGGCCCAGACUCCUACGGGAGGCAGCAGUGGGGAAUCUUGCGCAAUGGGCGAAAGCCUGACGCAGCGACG